CCCUUAGACGUUCUGGGCCGCACGCGCGCUACACUGACCAGUGCAACAAGCAUCCGUCCUUGGCCGACAGGCCCGGGCAAUCUUUGAACGCUGGUCGUGAUGGGGAUAGACUUUUGCAAUUUUUGGUCUUCAACGGGGAAUUCCUAGUAAACGCAAGUCAUCAACUUGCAUUGAUUACGUCCCUGCCCUUUGUACACACCGCCCGUCGCUCCUACCGAUCGAAGAGUUAGGUGAAUUGUUUUGAUCGAUAAGAUUUGACUAUGGUCAACUCUCGUUGUGAAAUUCUGUGAAUCUGACUGUUUAGAGGAAGGAAAAGUCGUAACA
This 324-nucleotide ribosomal RNA is filed under the name uncultured eukaryote. RNAcentral's name for it is "partial 18S ribosomal RNA". It matches the Rfam family "Eukaryotic small subunit ribosomal RNA", at positions 1470 to 1796 of the family's 1831-position model. The record is from RNAcentral.